UGGGGAAUAUUGCACAAUGGGCGAAAGCCUGAUGCAGCAACGCCGCGUGAGUGAUGAAGGCCUUCGGGUUGUAAAGCUCUGUCUUUUGGGACGAUAAUGACGGUACCAAAGGAGGAAGCCACGGCUAACUACGUGCCAGCAGCCGCGGUAAUACGUAGGUGGCAAGCGUUGUCCGGAUUUACUGGGCGUAAAGGAUGCGUAGGCGGAUUUUUAAGUGAGAUGUGAAAUACCCGGGCUUAACUUGGGUGCUGCAUUUCAAACUGGGAAUCUAGAGUGCGGGAGAGGAGAAUGGAAUUCCUAGUGUAGCGGUGAAAUGCGUAGAGAUUAGGAAGAACACCAGUGGCUAAGGCGAUUCUCUGGACCGUAACUGACGCUGAGGCAUGAAAGCGUGGGUAGCAAACAGGAUUAGAUACCCUGGUAGUCCACGCCGUAAACGAUGAGUACUAGGUGUAGGAGGUAUCGACCCCUUCUGUGCCGCAGUUAACACAAUCAAGUACUCCGCCUGGGGAAGUACGAUCGCAAGAUUAAAACUCAAAUGAAUUGACGGGGUC
This 551-nucleotide ribosomal RNA is filed under the name uncultured bacterium. Its description in RNAcentral is "partial 16S ribosomal RNA". It matches the Rfam family "Bacterial small subunit ribosomal RNA", at positions 355 to 920 of the family's 1533-position model. The record is from RNAcentral.